GGUUACUUGGCGGAGUGGUUAACGCGUUGGAUUUGAACACCAACAUCCAAUCUGAUUUUCAGGCCUAGGUUCGAACCCUAGAGUAACCG
This is a non-coding RNA of Cantharellus anzutake, 89 nucleotides long. The record is from the annotation of a RefSeq genome assembly. Lineage: Eukaryota; Fungi; Basidiomycota; Agaricomycetes; Cantharellales; Hydnaceae.